UACGUAGGGUGCGAGCGUUGUCCGGAAUUAUUGGGCGUAAAGAGCUCGUAGGCGGUGUGUCACGUCGGCCGUGAAAACCCGCAGCUUAACUGUGGGCGUGCGGUCGAUACGGGCAUCACUGGAGUUCGGCAGGGGAGACUGGAAUUCCUGGUGUAGCGGUGAAAUGCGCAGAUAUCAGGAAGAACACCAAUGGCGAAGGCAGCUCUCUGGGACGGUACUGACGCUGAGACGCGAAAGCGUGGGGAGCGAACAGG
This 254-nucleotide ribosomal RNA is filed under the name uncultured bacterium. RNAcentral's name for it is "partial 16S ribosomal RNA". It matches the Rfam family "Bacterial small subunit ribosomal RNA", at positions 524 to 776 of the family's 1533-position model. The record is from RNAcentral.